This 417-nucleotide ribosomal RNA is filed under the name Triticum aestivum (bread wheat). Its description in RNAcentral is "partial small subunit ribosomal RNA". Lineage: Eukaryota; Viridiplantae; Streptophyta; Magnoliopsida; Poales; Poaceae. The record is from RNAcentral.
AUGACCAAAAAGGAUUACACCCACAUCAAGUCUAUUCUUGACAGUGCUAUCUUUAUGUACGGCGUACGGGGUGGAGAGAUCAAGACCAAGAAGACAAGGAACCACACGCCCACCUUCAGCCAUAGGACCAACUUAUGUUGCAUCCAGCAACCGAGUGGUACUCUUAGUGAUGAAUUCUAUGUCCUCCACCUCAUGUUGGAGUACAUACAGGAUCAGCAGAACCUUCGCAUGUCACCUACAUUCGAGGAUGCCCAUAUUCUGCAAUGGGCAAAGAACUUAGGAGAUAUCAAAGAUCAUCGACAUCGAUCUGAGUUCUAUCACAUCCAGCAUGAACUUGCCCAAAACAUCAUGAAGGAGGUCGUCGAAAAAACAGGGAUGUUCUACAAAGAAGGGAAAAUGACGCGGGAAGACGUCUGA